AGGAGCAGACAGCUCAAUUCAUAAAAUUACGGUCUGAAAAUGACCAUUUCUUUACGGGGGCGAAAAACUCUGCCAGCGUGGCUUGGAGAGCAAUUCUGGAGAAAAUGGGUCUGCUGGGGAAGGUUACUCCCAUGCAGGCCAAAAAAAAAUGGGACAACUUAAAAAAAAAAUACAAAGAUUGCAAGUGUCCUGGGACAGGUAAGGGUGUGAGUGGGAAACCCACUGCUGAAACUUGGCCCUGGUUUGUCCUCAUGGAUGAGGUGUUGGGACAGAGGCAUUGCACCAACCCCCCUGUCCUCAUUGCCUCAAUCCCUGAGGACAGACCAGGGCCGAGUUCAGCAGUGGGUGCCCACGGUGGGGAGGAGCCAGCAGCACCACCAGCAGUAGCAG
Rhinichthys klamathensis goyatoka is the source of this 390-nucleotide long non-coding RNA. RefSeq lists it as uncharacterized. The record is from RefSeq and is a predicted model, not a curated record. Lineage: Eukaryota; Metazoa; Chordata; Actinopteri; Cypriniformes; Leuciscidae. The transcript has 3 exons.